This 1557-nucleotide long non-coding RNA is filed under the name Homo sapiens (human). RNAcentral describes it as "HSALNT0390346". Lineage: Eukaryota; Metazoa; Chordata; Mammalia; Primates; Hominidae. The record is from RNAcentral.
UUGCCUGCUCACUGGAGGGGCAGGGGAAGAAGCAGAAGCAACAGCCAUUUGAGGGUUGACUGGCUCUAAGGAAAAGCUGUUUGCUGGCAGACACAGGUGGCUGGUGACAAAGGGAACAGAGCAGGGGAAUGGAUAGCUCAAAACGAGCCUCGCCACUCCUGAACAGAACAGCAAUCCCAGCUGUGUCCUUUCGAGGGUGAGUGAAAGCACAUGCUGUCCUUUACAUGCUUGAGGCGGACUUGCCUGUCUCUUCAGGCCGGAUGCUCUUCAGGGCCCUGUGGGGCUUAAACACAUGUACUGAGCUAGCUCCAAUCUUAAUCUGCACAACAUCGCAACCCCUGAGUUCCUAUUAGUUCUGCAAAACAAAGCAAAACAAAUCCCCACCAAAAUUUCAGAUUUGUAGCAUCUGCUAAAACCAAAAGGCACAAUCAACUUCUUGUCCUCUCUGGGUUACUGGGCAGGCGAUAUAGAAGGAACCAGUAUCUGUGGCCAGAGUCCUCUAUCGGGUGCAGCUGGGCUCCAGGCCUCUCUAGCUGCCAAGCCCUCCCAGGAACCUGCCUCGCCCUUCACUUUGGGAAGGGACCUUGGCCCUUGGGGAAAUGCAUUGUUGCCAGACUGUAGCCUUCUGGAGGGGACUGAGCCAAGGCCCCAUUGGCUCUCCUCUCUAAGCUUCUUAUUAAUGGGCUCUGAGGCCAAUGCCUUCCUCCAGGGGUUGGGGAGGUGGGUGGAAGAGCUAAGUUGCUGGCUGAGGUCACUGCUGUAACUUGGCUCUUCGUAUCUGCUUUGUGUACAGGCAAAACUGGCUUACAGAAGAAAAAGGCAGGAACACCUGCAUUGGGCCCUGGCCCUUGGAGGUGCUCUGGGGGCUCGUGCCAGUGUCAUGAGGUAUAUGUGGCCGCGGCCCCUUUUGGGCAUGUGGCUUGGGUUUGCCGAGGGUCAGGAGGGCAAGGUCCUACCUUGGUCCCAGUGUGGAUCGCUCUGAGAGACCACAGCUCCCUCCUCUGGAGUCCCCUCUCCGAGCUCUCCAAGGGAAAAGACAAAGGAAGCCGAACUGCCAAGUUGAAGAUUUUGCCUCAGGCAACUAAAUUUAUUAGCAAGAAAAAAUUUUUGUCAGCCCAGUGCUGACCAACAAAGUACGUUAAUAAAGGAUAACAAAUCUGUCACUUAAUUCAUAAAACAUACCUCAAGCAGUUACAACUAAAAAUAAAGUUGGAUUUUUGUUUAAUUUAAAAGCCUCAAAAAUAACAAGCAAUGUGUUUUUAAACAUGUAGUAGACACAAUUGUCUAUUAUACAAUAUACACUGUACACAAGUAGAGCUUGGGCCGGGCAGGGGUGAGGUGAAGGGAGAGGGAGGAGGUGCAGGAUGUGCAGGUGCUGUUAUCUGAAUCCAGAUUUGAGUUUAAAUGCUGUGUCAUUUAGAAAAGGGAAUUGCUAGAGUGAGAAAAAAUUCAUAUGCUCAUCAUUGCCCCCAACCCUCAACUGAAAGCAGGCAUCAGGGAGGUGAAUAACAAGGAAAGGAAGAAGGGAGCAAUUAAAUAAAACUUCUUUAAAGCACA